ACUUUUAAAUGGGUGGUCCGAUAGCGGCCCGAUAACGGGUGGAACAAUAUGUCCAACGACAACAGAAAUCGCUAGGAUGGGCUCUAGUCAUGGCUCUGAUACCAUGUUAGAAGUGGACUUUAAGCCUAACUCAACCCCACAAAACCGGCUUGUAGGGUGAGGUUUGCACCCACUUAUAUACACUUAAAUGGCCUCAUCUCUAGUCGAUGUGGGACUUCCAACA
Molecule: long non-coding RNA, 223 nt
Filed under: Vigna radiata
Lineage: Eukaryota; Viridiplantae; Streptophyta; Magnoliopsida; Fabales; Fabaceae
Description: long non-coding RNA (VRAD_LNC000010)
Source: RNAcentral